This 459-nucleotide ribosomal RNA is filed under the name uncultured bacterium. RNAcentral describes it as "partial 16S ribosomal RNA". It matches the Rfam family "Bacterial small subunit ribosomal RNA", at positions 338 to 795 of the family's 1533-position model. The record is from RNAcentral.
CCUACGGGUGGCAGCAGUGAGGAAUAUUGGUCAAUGGUCGGAAGACUGAACCAGCCAAGCCGCGUGAGGGAGGAAUGUACAGUGUAUCGUAAACCUCUUUUAUGCGGGGAUAAAGGCGUCGACGUGUCGCCGUUUGCAGGUACCGGAUGAAUAAGCAUCGGCUAAUUCCGUGCCAGCAGCCGCGGUAAUACGGAGGGUGCGGGCGUUAUCCGGAUUUAUUGGGUUUAAAGGGUGCGCAGGCGGUCGGUCAAGUCAGCGGUAAAAUGUCGGGGCUCAACCCCGGCCGGCCGUUGAAACUGGUUUUCUAGAUUUGGAGAGACGUAUGCGGAAUUCGUGGUGUAGCGGUGAAAUGCAUAGAGAGCACGAAGAAGUCCGAGUGCGAAGGGAGCAUACCGGCUCCAUACUGACGCUGAGGCACGAAAGCGUGGGGAUCGAACAGGAUUAGAUACCCCUGUAGUC